Molecule: ribosomal RNA, 253 nt
Filed under: uncultured bacterium
Lineage: Bacteria
Description: partial 16S ribosomal RNA
Rfam family: Bacterial small subunit ribosomal RNA
Source: RNAcentral
UACGUAGGUGGCAAGCGUUAUCCGGAAUUACUGGGCGUAAAGCGCACGCAGGCGGUCUCUUAAGUUUGACGUGAAAGCUCCCGGCUUAACUGGGAGAGGUCGUUGAAGACUGGGAGACUUGAGGCAAGGAGAGGGGUGUAGAAUUCCCGGUGUAGUGGUGGAAUGCGUAGAUAUCGGGGGGAAUACCAGUGGCGAAAGCGACACCCUAGCCUUAGCCUGACGCUCAGGUGCGAAAGCGUGGGGAGCGAACGGG